RNAcentral lists this small RNA (1872 nucleotides) under Pongo abelii (Sumatran orangutan). RNAcentral describes it as "processed transcript". Lineage: Eukaryota; Metazoa; Chordata; Mammalia; Primates; Hominidae. The record is from RNAcentral.
UUCUCCAGUGGCAUUGCCAUUGCCCAGGAGGGGCCCAGUCACCAUGAGAGCUCCCUUGCCUUACCUGGUGGAAGAAUGUGCCUUCAGGCCACAGUUGUGCUGCUAGAACAGUCUCAUAGCUGCAGUUCAGCUGUGCUUCCUCAGCCUACUAUCAUAGGCUUCCUUGGCCGUCUGUCGUAUGGCUGUUUUCCAAACCUGUGGAGUCUGUUACUGUUCUUUCUGCAAGGACUCACCUACUUGAGCCUCGAUUUUUGUUGUAGAGAUUAAAUGAGAUAAUAUGAGUGGCAGCUCUUCAUGAGUCCUGCAGUGCUAAGCAAAUGUCAGAAAUUGGUAUAUUAGACUAUUUGUCUUCUGAAUGGAUUGCUGUCGUGGACACAGACACUGAUCUUCAUCUGGUUCAUUGUAUUUAUAUGUGAGGGAUGGGUGGCUGCAGGGGUCCAAGAGCAGCCUCCUGAAGUGAGGGUGGCAAGUAUCUGACAGGGUACCCACAAAGGCAGACAAGGACUCUGAGAACCAACAGGACUUUUCUGGUCUUAUUCUGAGGCUAAGACAAAAACUGCACCUGAGCCAGAUCUCUCAGCCUGGCAGCUCCAGGACCCCUGGGCCCUGCCACUGGCCCAUCUCAACUGCCAGGACCUAGAGCAUCAUCAAGCUGCAGGUUAAACAGGUUGAUUGGUUCUGACUUGACUGGACCUCUACAAGGACCUAUGGUUGCACUUGUUGAUACUUUCCCAAGGAGCCACAAUGCUGAGCAAUGAGGGGAGGAGCAUGUGUUAGUUCAUUCAUUAAGUCCUAAAUGUUAACUACUCUGUGCCAGGUGCUGAGCCAGGCACCAGAGAUACAAUGAUGAACAAGACACAUAAAUCUUACCCUCAUUGAGCUUACACCAUGUGAAAGAGAAGUAUGAAAUAAUUACACAUUAUUUUUUUUUAGUUUUUGAGAUGGAGUUUCGCUUUUGUCUCCCAGGCUGGAGUGCAGUGGUGUGACCUCAGCUCACUGCAACCUCUGCCUCCCAGGUUCAAGCGAUUCUCCUGCCUCAGCCUCCCAAGUAGCUGGGAUUACAGGCACCUGCCACCAUGCCUGGCUAAAUUUUGUAUUUUUAGUAGAGAUGGGCUUUCACCAUGUUGGUCAGGCUGGUCUUGAACUCCUGACCUCAAGCGAUCCUCCCACCUUGUUCUCCCAAAGUGCUGGGAUUGCAGGCGUGAGACACGGCGCCUCACAAAUUACACAUUAUUCAACUGUAAUUGUGAAAGUGAUUCUAAGGAAAAAGUACAGAGAGCUGUGGGAAAACAUAAUAGGAAAUCUUUGUCAUUCUGUCACUAUUGUCUAUUAGGCUGUCACUGUUGUCAUUGUCACCCCUACCCUCCCGCAGAGAGUGAUUCCCAUUUGCCAGAGCUCAUUUAUUGUCCUGAAGGUCUGUGAAAAGAUGACAAAGUAGUGUUGCCUUCUUUCCACUUUCCCAAGUCUCACAUGAGCACCCCUAACUGGCAGAACCAAUUCAUACCCACAAGCCUAGCUGUGAGGGGAACUGGGAAAUGUAUUCCCAGCUUUCCAACCUCUCCACCCAGGAGAUGAAACAGCCAAUUUAGGCCAGGUGCAAUGGCUUACACAUGUAAAACCAGCACUAUGGGAGGCUGAGGAGGGAAGAGUACUCGAGCCCAGGAGUUUGAGACCAGCCUGGACAACAGGGCGAGACCAUCAUCUCUGCAAAACAUACAAAAAAAAGUUAGCUAGGCGUGGUGUCCUGUGCCUGUGGUCCCAGCUUCUCAGGAGGUUGAGGCAGGAGGAUCGCUUGAGAUCGAGGCUGCAGUGAGCCAUGAUUGCGCCACUGCACUCCAGUCUGGGUGACAGCAAGACCCUAUCUCAGAAAAA